CUGCCUUUGCUUUCUCUUCCGGUACUUAAUGUAUGGCAUGCAAUCCAACCACCCGGAGGGAUGUUUCCAGAUCUUUCCAUCCCACCCAGGAGUGUGGCCUUCCUCAGGGUUCCCCACGAAUCUCUGUCGCCCUUGUGGUGACAGAGAUCUUCGCCACGAAGACACACUGUUCACUAGGAAACGCCACAGGGAGAACAGGGGUGUUUCGACCUAAUUUCUUGUGCCAUCCCCUGUCCAGGGACCCGGAGUGUCAGACAAUGCUAUGCGCUGCUUGUUAUGGGCAUAAAACAGACCUUGACAAAUUCAGUCUGAGGGAUAUGUCUUUCUAGCCUGUGUUAAGACGGGUUACUCACCAAUAUCCCCAAAUUGGGAGAUUGCAUAUUCCAGUUUCUAGCUUCUCUUAAAAAAAGAAUAAUAUUAGGCUCCAGAUUCCUGCUGGAGAAGAAUCUAUAAAAGCCUGGGAAUGGCUCCCCAUUCAAUGAGGCACGUAUCUUCCAGGGUACCGCCAUCCCCACCACUCACCUUUGCCUCUUACUGAAUACCCUUCCUCCUCCUAUCCUUUCUUCCAUCCAUCCUUGCAUCUUUCCUUCAUCCUUGCUUCCUUCCUUCCAUCCUUCUUCCCUCCCUCCUAUCCUUCCUCCUUUCCUCCUUCCUUCCAUUUCUCUCUCCCCGGUUUCCUUCCUUCCUAUACUCUUUCCCUAAAAGUCUCUCCCCUCAUGCUUCCUUCAAUGUACCCCUCUACAUGGCACAGCCUAUUUGGUUUUAGGAUCCUGUCUGCUGUCAUCUCUUCUGCAAGGCUUUUCCUGACGGCCCACUAUCCCCAUUACCUACCUCAUCAUCGACUCUUCUCUAGGCGCUCUCUGACAUGCACACCUGCAGGUAUUUAUAAAUAUUGGACAACCGAUGCCUAGUGGGAGACUAGCAUACAAUGGAUGCUCAGCGAGGGGCUGCCCAUGUAAAGGACAUCCAUGUGGUCCUGGGCAGCAUGGGAUCCAUAAGGAUGUGGGUCCCAUGUGAAAGUGCUAGGAUAAAAGGUCCACAGAGUAUUGUGGAGAACAGAGGGAAGGGCCCUCCACCUGGACCAGGCUCUCCAGAGCAGGGGAAUUGCUUGAUCUGAUAUUUGAAAGACAAGGAAUUCAUCGCUUGCUAGUAAAUUGAGAAAAAGUGAAUUUUUUGGAAAGAAACCAUAAUUUGAGAAGGCACGUAACCAUAAAGGGAAUUUCAGCCAGGUCUGUAUUGUUACAGAGAAGGAUGCAUUUCCCGAUGCUGCCAAAAAACAAGGCAAGAACCGUUUGAUCUCUUUGUUGAAAACCAUGGUUUCCUUUGACUCCGUUUUCAAAAGUAGAAUUAACUGAAGAUCACAAGUAAAUAAAGACAAUUGUAUUUUAGGAGAAAGACUUAAUUUUUAACUUAAGAGACCUACAUUUUUCAUAUUACUGAUGUGUUUUUAUGUACAUAGGGAGCUUGCUCUCUCGAGCUUUCUUCGGAAGCAAGUUUGGAAGGGAUUUUAGAAGCAACAACCCAAUACAGGCCAUUUUUUAACAUAAAGCUUAUUGUGCUGCUUUGUUUUCAUGGGCAGAAAUAGAAAAAUUAAAGAGAAAAGUUCCACAAAUAUAGUCAAGGAAAAUUGGAUAAGGGUAUACAAGGACAACUCACUUAGUUGGGGUAAAAUACAAUUUAUUUUACCCCCAGUUAUUCCAAACUAUUUUCUGGAAGUUACAACAAAAUCAAAUUUGAUUCCCCAAAUCUUCUCUUGGGGAUUGUUUGGCAAAUCUGAAAUGUGAAUAAAAAUUUCCUCCCAAACAUCCAAAUGGAGUUUUCUGCCACGAUUAUUCAGAAAAUAUUACCUGAAUUUAUCUUGCAGGCAGGCUAGAUGUUAUUUGAGUUCAUUUUCCCUGAAAUCACUUUCAAGGAUGAAGCUGGAAAGAGAAGAGACUAUUUUUUUAAAAAUCAACAGUGUGUCCUCACUAUAGCUGGAUGUUGAUUUCACUUGCUUGAAGUGUAUUUAAUAGACAUUAAUAUUGGUGUUUACUGCUUAAAAUUUCAAGUUCCACUUAGAAAGUUCCCCAUACAGCUGCCAAAUAUGGCAAACCCCAAUGAAAGUGAUUACUCUUGAAAGUGUGGAAUAAUUGGUAGUUUCCUUGAAGUUCUAAAAAUAAGACCCCCUGCCUUCUUCAGCCCAAAACCUUUCCUUUUGAAAACAAAUCCACUUCAGGAUAGAACAUAGAAACUUUAUCAUGGACAUUCAGAUAUUCACAAAGGAAGGCACAUACUCUAGCACUAUUCAUGGGAUUGACUUGAUAAUGACGUGAGUAAUUCUCAGAGAUUGCUGGGCAGGGUUUUAGAUACUUAGCAGUGCAUAACUCUGAUUUUGUUUUUUUCUCCCAGCUGGAGUUUUACUGUGAAUUGGUGUGGCUGGAGCAUCUGUGUCCAUUCCAUGAACUUUUUAAGAGCUUUUUUGUUCAGAAGAAUUUUGACAGGACUUCAAAGAUAUUAUUGGUUUGGUUGUAGCCCCAAAGGCUUGAGAAACAGCUGUUUUCCUUCCACACCAUCUUGAACCACAAGUCAUGCAUAAAGGUAUGAUGUAGCAUGAAGUUCUUGAGGGAUAUCCAAAGAUGCAUGAAACUAGGAGGAUGAAAAAGACAGAAUUUGAUCUUUUGCAAAACUUACAAAUAUGUGGCAUCAUCAGGUAAGACUUUUUCUUUCCUAUUUUUUUUUUAUUUUUAUUUUUAAGAAUCGCACACCUGGCAUAUGGAAGUUUCCAGGAGGCUAGGGGUCAAAUCAAGCCACAGCCAUAUCAGAUAUGAGCCACAUCUGCAACCUACACUGCAGCUCAUCACAACAUGGGAUCCUUAACCCAGUGAAUGAGGUCAGGGAUCGAACCUGCAUCUUUGUGGAUACUAGUUGGGUUCGUAACCCACUGAGCUACAACAGAAACACCAAGACUUUCUAAAGCCUGACUGUAGAAUUUGGGAAAGAAAAAUUCUGGAGUAGAUUUGACACAUCCUCUCAAGGGAACUUUUGGCGGCACUUAGAAUGGAUUGUUCCCUGAGAAUUUUUCCAGGGUUGUGAAGUUUCGUCGUCCAGUGAUUAAAAGGGAUACUUGAUGCAAAAUCUUCACAGCCAUUACAGUUUUUAUCUUAAUAUGUCCUAAUCUUAUUUAAUAUUAUGUGCUGCAGAGAAUAGUGCUAUAAUAACAAGGUCUACCCACAUCAGAAAGUUUGUGUGACUCUAAUUUAAAUGCCAUUAUAGCUAAGGUGGGACUGUACCUUUUUUUUUUCAUUUUUAAACUUUUAUUGAGGGAGAGCUGAUUUAUAAUGUUGAUAAUUUCUGCUGUACGACACAGCGAUUCAGUUGUACAUGUGCACACAUCCAUUCUCUUUCAGAUUCUUUUUCCAUAGAGAUGAUCAUGGAAUAUUGGGUAGAGUUCCCUCUGCUCUAGAGCAGGUCCCCAUUGGCCAAUCAUGCCAUAUACCUCAGUGUGCACAUGCCAAUCCCAAACCCUUAGUCCAUCCCUCUCACCCUCCCUAUCCUUUGAUCAGUGUUCUUAAGCACAAAAAAUCAAAGCCUUGCUGUUUGCAGUGAACCUGGACUGAACCUUGAUGUAUAAGUAAAUCACGUCCAGAUUUGUGUUUUGGCUGCCAUCUUCAGUUGCUUUAUAGAAACAGGGUUUGUUUGUUUGUUUGUUUUAAUGGGGAGUAUUUUCAAGAGUGCCAAGCUGGUUUUGAAGAGAAAAGUGAUCCUGAUGGCAGAGGAGGACCCUCGAGUUUCCCCUCAUACCUGAGCCCAGGAAGCAAGAUAUUGGUUUGUUUUAUGUGUACACUCAUGUCAGCCUAAAACACGAUGCCGUGUAAUGGAGACUUAGAGAAGAUAUAAAAUAGUUUUACAAUUCUCUGAUUUAUUUGCUGUUGGACUAAACUCAAACAAUACAGAGAUAUAAAAAGAAAAAAAGAGGCGUUCCCUGGAGGCCUAGAGGCUAAGGAUCUGGCAUUGUCACUGCUGUGGUGCAGAUUCAAUCCCUGGCUCAUGAAUUUCCACAUGCCAUGGGCAUGGCCAAAUUUAAAAAAA
This 4068-nucleotide long non-coding RNA is filed under the name Sus scrofa (pig). RNAcentral describes it as "lncRNA (ENSSSCG00015068598.1)". Lineage: Eukaryota; Metazoa; Chordata; Mammalia; Artiodactyla; Suidae. The record is from RNAcentral.